Molecule: long non-coding RNA, 265 nt
Filed under: Medicago truncatula (barrel medic)
Lineage: Eukaryota; Viridiplantae; Streptophyta; Magnoliopsida; Fabales; Fabaceae
Description: lncRNA gene28509
Source: RNAcentral
GUUUUAAGAUGGAGAAUCGGAGAUAGCUUUAUAUGUGUUUGUUUAUUAAUAAUUUUUGGAAUCUUUCAACUUUCAAGCCCUAUGUGUACCAUCGAUUAUAAAAUCUUGAUAUGUGUAUAAGUCCUAUCUUAAUUGACAAAAAUGUUAAAUUGAUUGAAAUUUAAACUACAACUUUUUUAUUUGUGUAUGUGAAUUUUCAAUGACUAUUAUCAUUUUUUGGAAUCCGGUCAAGAAGAGUUUUCCAAACAAAGACCCUCACUUUUGA